This 490-nucleotide ribosomal RNA is filed under the name uncultured bacterium. Its description in RNAcentral is "partial 16S ribosomal RNA". It matches the Rfam family "Bacterial small subunit ribosomal RNA", at positions 30 to 507 of the family's 1533-position model. The record is from RNAcentral.
AUUGAACGCUGGCGGCAGGCCUAACACAUGCAAGUCGAACGGUAACAGGAAGCAGCUUGCUGCUUUGCUGACGAGUGGCGGACGGGUGAGUAAUGUCUGGGAAACUGCCUGAUGGAGGGGGAUAACUACUGGAAACGGUAGCUAAUACCGCAUAACGUCGCAAGACCAAAGAGGGGGACCUUCGGGCCUCUUGCCAUCGGAUGUGCCCAGAUGGGAUUAGCUUGUUGGUGGGGUAACGGCUCACCAAGGCGACGAUCCCUAGCUGGUCUGAGAGGAUGACCAGCCACACUGGAACUGAGACACGGUCCAGACUCCUACGGGAGGCAGCAGUGGGGAAUAUUGCACAAUGGGCGCAAGCCUGAUGCAGCCAUGCCGCGUGUAUGAAGAAGGCCUUCGGGUUGUAAAGUACUUUCAGCGGGGAGGAAGGGAGUAAAGUUAAUACCUUUACCCAUUGACGUUACCCGCAGAAGAAGCACCGGCUAACUCCGUG